CUACGGAAGGUCCGGGCGUUAUCCGGAUUUAUUGGGUUUAAAGGGAGCGCAGGCGGAGAUGCAAGCGUGACGUCAAAUUUCGGGGCUCAACCCCGUCUCGCGUCGCGAACUGCGUCCCUUGGUUGCGGGAAGGGGAGGCGGAACUCGUGGGGUAGCGGUGAAAUGCAUAGAUAUCACGAAGAACUCCGAUCGCGAAGGCAGCCUUCCGGCCCGUCAACGACGCUCAUGCUCGAAGGUGCGGGUAUCAAACAGGAUUAGAUACCCUGGUAGUCCGCACAGUAAACGAUGGACACCCGCGGUUUGGCCUGUAUGGCUGAGCCGCCAAGCGAAAGCGUUAAGUGUCCCACCUGGGGAGUACGCCGGCAACGGUGAAACUCAAAUGAAUUGACGGGG
Molecule: ribosomal RNA, 393 nt
Filed under: uncultured bacterium
Lineage: Bacteria
Description: partial 16S ribosomal RNA
Rfam family: Bacterial small subunit ribosomal RNA
Source: RNAcentral